This 460-nucleotide ribosomal RNA is filed under the name uncultured bacterium. RNAcentral describes it as "partial 16S ribosomal RNA". It matches the Rfam family "Bacterial small subunit ribosomal RNA", at positions 338 to 795 of the family's 1533-position model. The record is from RNAcentral.
CCUACGGGGUGCAGCAGUGAGGAAUCUUGGUCAAUGGACGAGAGUCUGAACCAGCCAAGUAGCGUGAAGGAUGACUGCCCUAUGGGUUGUAAACUUCUUUUAUAUGGGAAUAAAACGUUCCACGUGUGGGAUUUUGUAUGUACCAUAUGAAUAAGGAUCGGCUAACUCCGUGCCAGCAGCCGCGGUAAUACGGAGGAUCCGAGCGUUAUCCGGAUUUAUUGGGUUUAAAGGGAGCGUAGGUGGAUUGUUAAGUCAGUUGUGAAAGUUUGCGGCUCAACCGUAAAAUUGCAGUUGAAACUGGCAGUCUUGAGUACAGUAGAGGUGGGCGGAAUUCGUGGUGUAGCGGUGAAAUGCUUAGAUAUCACGAAGAACUCCGAUUGCGAAGGCAGUUCACUGGACUGCAACUGACACUGAGGCUCGAAAGUGUGGGUAUCAAACAGGAUUAGAUACCCUAGUAGUC